RNAcentral lists this ribosomal RNA (512 nucleotides) under Citrobacter freundii. RNAcentral describes it as "bacterial SSU rRNA". It matches the Rfam family "Bacterial small subunit ribosomal RNA", at positions 56 to 558 of the family's 1533-position model. Lineage: Bacteria; Pseudomonadati; Pseudomonadota; Gammaproteobacteria; Enterobacterales; Enterobacteriaceae. The record is from RNAcentral.
UGCAGUCGAACGGUAGCACAGAGGAGCUUGCUCCUUGGGUGACGAGUGGCGGACGGGUGAGUAAUGUCUGGGAAACUGCCCGAUGGAGGGGGAUAACUACUGGAAACGGUAGCUAAUACCGCAUAACGUCGCAAGACCAAAGAGGGGGACCUUCGGGCCUCUUGCCAUCGGAUGUGCCCAGAUGGGAUUAGCUAGUAGGUGGGGUAACGGCUCACCUAGGCGACGAUCCCUAGCUGGUCUGAGAGGAUGACCAGCCACACUGGAACUGAGACACGGUCCAGACUCCUACGGGAGGCAGCAGUGGGGAAUAUUGCACAAUGGGCGCAAGCCUGAUGCAGCCAUGCCGCGUGUAUGAAGAAGGCCUUCGGGUUGUAAAGUACUUUCAGCGAGGAGGAAGGCGUUGUGGUUAAUAACCGUAACGAUUGACGUUACUCGCAGAAGAAGCACCGGCUAACUCCGUGCCAGCAGCCGCGGUAAUACGGAGGGUGCAAGCGUUAAUCGGAAUUACUGGG